Molecule: ribosomal RNA, 3184 nt
Filed under: Armatimonadota bacterium
Lineage: Bacteria; Bacillati; Armatimonadota
Description: Armatimonadetes bacterium (anaerobic digester metagenome) 23S ribosomal RNA
Rfam family: Bacterial large subunit ribosomal RNA
Source: RNAcentral
GAUCAUGUUCACCAAGGGCAUAUGGUGGAUGCCUUGGCGCCAGAGCCGAUGAAGGACGCGGCCACCCUGCGAAAAGCCUCGGGAAGCCGGUGGCAGGCUAUGAACCGGGGAUCUCCGAAUGGGGUAACCCAGGGCGGGUCAUGCCGCCCUGCGGGAAGAACUCGUUGUCUUCCCGCGGGAACCGGGCGAACGGAAACAUCCCAGUAGCUCGAGGAAAAGAAAGCAAAUGCGAUUCCCCCAGUAGCGGCGAGCGAAAAGGGAACAGCCUAAACUCGGGUUCUGGCCCCUGUGUGGGGGUACAGGCUCGGGGGUCGUGGGGAAGAGAAGGCAGAAAUCUGCUUCCGCGGGUCGUUGGGGGCAGCUAGCUGAAGCCUCUGGGAAGGGGCGCCACAGAGGGUGAAAGCCCCGUAAGCCAAAGCUGCUAGAACGAUCUGCCUCUUACCCCGAGUAGCACGAGGGACGGGAGCCCUUGUGCGAAUUCGCGAGUACCACCUCGCAAGGCUAAAUACUCCUGGCGACCGAUAGCGAAGAGUACCGUGAGGGAAAGGUGAAAAGAACCCCGGGAGGGGAGUGAAAGAGAACCUGAAACCAUAUGCCUACAGGCAGUCAGAGUUCCUUCUAUGCCAUGCUGUGGCGUAGAGUGGGAAUGAUGGCGUGCCUAUUGCAGAAGGAACCGGCGAGUCACUGUCGCUGGCCUUGGUUAAGGCCGAGAGGCCGUAGCCGCAGCGAAAGCGAGUCUGAAGAGGGCGUAGUCGGCGGCAGUGGACCCGAAACCGCGUGAUCUCCCCAUGGCCAGGGUGAAGCGAGGGUUACACCUCGUGGAGGCCCGAACCCGUUGGUGGUGCAAUACCAUGGGAUGAGCUGUGGGGAGGGGUGAAAUGCCAAUCGAACGCGGCGAUAGCUGGUUCUCCCCGAAAUGCAUGUCAGUGCAGCCUCGGGCGCAUGGUGAUGGGGGUAGAGCACUGGAUGGCGCUAGGGACCAUACCCGGCACCCGAACCCAACCAAACUCCGAAUACCAUCACCGGAAACCCGGGAGUGAGGCGAUGGGGGAUAAGCUCCAUUGCCAAGAGGGAAACAACCCAGACCGCCGGCUAAGGCCCCUAAGUGCGGGCUCAGUGAGCAAAAGGAUGUGGGACGGCGAAGACGCCCGGGAUGUUGGCUUGAGAGCAGCCAUCGUCCAAGGAGUGCGUAAUAGCACACCGGGGGAGUCGCCCUGCGCCGAAAAUUCACGGGUCUUAAGUCCGCCGCCGAAGCCGCGGGACUCGUAAUACGUGACAGACACACUCCGUUGAGGAGAUCUGGGCCGGGUGAGGCGGGUGAUGACGAGCUUGCGGCUGCCGGCCCCCUUUUUCGGGGAGGAGCGCAUGACGUAUUACGAGUCGGUAGGGGAGCGUUCCGUCGUAGGGUGAAGCGCGUGUGAAAACACGCGUGGACGAAACGGAAGUGCGAAUGCCGGUAUGAGUAGCGUUGCAGGGGUGAGAAUCCCCUCCGCCGAAAGCCUAAGGUUUCCUAUGCCGCAAUGUUCGUCAGCGGCGGGUUAGGCGGGCCUAAGCCGAGGCCGAAAGGCGUAGGCGAUGGAUAGCCGGUCACAUUCCGGCCCCACCAGGGGCAAGGUGGACCACAGGGCACAAUGCCAGGCGGCCCUCCCGGGAAACCGGGAUAUCCGCAGCCUCGCAGCGCCCUCACUGCUCUCGCCAGAGUCUGCCAGAACACGCGGGGAGUAUCCCUGCCAUGGGCUGGCGGAUGAACCAGGCGAGGGCUAUCCCGCGGGGACGUGGGACCGUCCUUCCGGGGGGCGGCUGGUAGCCCACCCGGCAGGACCUAACCGCCAAGAAAAGCCGCGGGAGGAACCCCCUGGUGCCCGUACCUCAAACCGACACUGGUAGGCGAGGAGAGAAUCCUCAGGCGAGCGGGAGAACCCUCGUUAAGGAACUCGGCAAAUUGGCCCCGUAACUUCGGGAGAAGGGGCGCUCCACCCUCUCAACACACCCCAGCGCGGGUUGUGGGAGGACGAGGAGCCGCAGGGAAACGGCCUGGGCGACUGUUUACAAAAAACACAGGUCUCUGCUAAGUCGCAAGAAAGACGACGUAUAGGGGCCGACGCCUGCCCAGCGCCAGGACCUAAGGGGAUGGGUUCGCGAAACCCAUCGCGGGCUCUGAACCGAAACCCUGGUUAGCGGCGGCCGCGACAGGAAGCGGUCCGAAGGUAGCAAGAUUCCUUGACAGCUAAAUACUGUCCUGCUCCAAUGGCGUCACGACCCAGGCGCUGUCUCAACGAGGGACCCGGCGAAAUUGCGAUAUCGGUGAACAUGCCGAUGACCCGCGGUAGGAUGGAGAGACCCCGUGGAGCUUUACCGCAGCUAGCUGUUGGGUGCGGCUGAAUGAUGAAGAGAUCUAGGUGGGAGCCCGAUGUCGUCUCUGCCUGCGCGUCAAGCGCGCGGGUAGGCGUGAGUGAUGGGCAGAAGUGGAAUACCACCCUUCGUUCGGCGCGUGUCCUCAUCGCCCCUGUGCAGGGGGCGAGACCGCGGCUGGUGAGCGGUUCCGGCUGGAUCGGCAUCCUCCCAAAAAGUAACGGAGGAGACCAAAGGUCGCCUCAGCCUGGUUGGAAAUCAGGCAGUGACUUGCAAAGGGAUAAGGCGGCUUGACUGCGAGAGCGACGGCUCGAGCAGGUGCGAAAGCAGGGCUUAUCGACACGAUGGUACCUCGUGGGAGGGCCAUCGGACAACGGGUACAAGCUCCCCGGGAAUACAGGGCUCACCUCGCCCGAGAGAUCCCAUCGACGGCGAGACGUGGCGCCUCGUUGCCGGCUCAUCCCAUCCUGGGGCUGAAGCAGGUCCCAAGGGUUGGACUUCUCGUCCAUGAAAGGGGUCUGUGAGCUGGGAAUAGACCGUCGUGAGACAGGUCGUGUCCUAUCCACCGUGGGCGUGGGAGACUUGAGAGGGUCUGCCCCCAGUACGAGAGGACCGGGGCGGGCGGACCACCGGUGUAUCUGUUGUGCCGCCAGGCGCACCGCAGAGUAGCUGACGUCCGUUACGGAUAAGCACUGAAAGCAUCUAAGCGCGAAGCCGGCCUCAAGACAAUAGGUCUCCAUUCAGGCCCCUGGUAGACCACCAGGUUGAUAGACCGGAGGUGUAAGGGUCGCGAGGCCUUUAGCUAACCGGCACUAAUCGGCCGAAAACAUGA